RNAcentral lists this ribosomal RNA (442 nucleotides) under uncultured bacterium. Its description in RNAcentral is "partial 16S ribosomal RNA". It matches the Rfam family "Bacterial small subunit ribosomal RNA", at positions 338 to 795 of the family's 1533-position model. The record is from RNAcentral.
CCUACGGGAGGCAGCAGUGGGGAAUAUUGGGCAAUGGAGGCAACUCUGACCCAGCAAUGCCGCGUGAGUGAUGAAGGUAAUUUUAUUGUAAAGCUCUUUUCUUUGGAACGAAUAAAUGACGGUACCUGAAUAAGAAGCCCCGGCUAACUACGUGCCAGCAGCCGCGGUAAUACGUAGGGGGCAAGCGUUAUCCGGAAUUACUGGGUGUAAAGGGUGAGUAGGCGGCAUGGUAAGCCAGAUGUGAAAGCCUUGGGCUUAACCCGAGGAUUGCAUUUGGAACUAUCAAGCUAGAGUACAGGAGAGGAAAGCGGAAUUCCUAGUGUAGCGGUGAAAUGCGUAGAUAUUAGGAAGAACACCAGUGGCGAAGGCGGCUUUCUGGACUGAAACUGACGCUGAGGCACGAAAGCGUGGGGAGCGAACAGGAUUAGAUACCCCGGUAGUC